RNAcentral lists this ribosomal RNA (431 nucleotides) under uncultured bacterium. RNAcentral's name for it is "bacterial SSU rRNA". It matches the Rfam family "Bacterial small subunit ribosomal RNA", at positions 52 to 479 of the family's 1533-position model. The record is from RNAcentral.
CACANCGCAAGUCGAACGGUAACAGGUCUUCGGAUGCUGACGAGUGGNGAACGGGUGAGUAAUACAUCGGAACGUGCCUGGUAGUGGGGGAUAACUACUCGAAAGAGUAGCUAAUACCGCAUGAGAUCUACGGAUGAAAGCAGGGGACCUUCGGGCCUUGUGCUACCAGAGCGGCUGAUGGCAGAUUANGUAGUUGGUGGGGUAAAGGCUUACCAAGCCUGCGAUCUGUAGCUGGUCUGAGAGGACGACCAGCCACACUGGGACUGAGACACGGCCCACACUCCUACGGGAGGCAGCAGUGGGGAAUUUUGGACAAUGGGCGAAAGCCUGAUCCAGCAAUGCCGCGUGCAGGAUGAAAGCCCUCGGGUUGUAAACUGCUUUUGUACGGAACNAAAAAACUGGGGCUAAUAUCCCCNGGUCAUGACGGUACC